Molecule: non-coding RNA, 27 nt
Filed under: Rattus norvegicus (Norway rat)
Lineage: Eukaryota; Metazoa; Chordata; Mammalia; Rodentia; Muridae
Source: RNAcentral
UGACAUCUUACCAAUGUGACAGUGGGA